This is a small nuclear RNA of Heterocephalus glaber (naked mole-rat), 140 nucleotides long. Its record names the gene U2. It matches the Rfam family "U2 spliceosomal RNA". From Rfam's summary of the family: U2 is a small nuclear RNA (snRNA) component of the spliceosome (involved in pre-mRNA splicing). Complementary binding between U2 snRNA (in an area lying towards the 5' end but 3' to hairpin I) and the branchpoint sequence (BPS) of the intron results the bulging out of an unpaired adenosine, on the BPS, which initiates a nucleophilic attack at the intronic 5' splice site, thus starting the first of two transesterification reactions that mediate splicing. NCBI's taxonomy places the organism in Eukaryota, Metazoa, Chordata, Mammalia, Rodentia, Bathyergidae. The record is from Ensembl.
AUCACUUCUCGGCCUUUUGGCUAAGAUCAAGUGUAGUAUCCACUGGCUCUAAACAUAUAUUUUCUCCAGAAUAUUUGUAUGUGAAUGUUCACAGUAUUAUUAUGGAAACAACCCAGAUGUCCAUCAACUGAUGAAUAAAU